GGUUAAGUUAGAAAGGGCGCACGGUGGAUGCCUUGGCACUAGGAGCCGAUGAAGGACGGGACGAACACCGAUAUGCUUCGGGGAGCUGUAAGCAAGCUUUGAUCCGGAGAUUUCCGAAUGGGGAAACCCACCACUCGUAAUGGAGUGGUAUCCAUAUCUGAAUACAUAGGAUAUGAGAAGGCAGACCCGGGGAACUGAAACAUCUAAGUACCCGGAGGAAGAGAAAGCAAAUGCGAUUCCCUGAGUAGCGGCGAGCGAAACGGGACCAGCCCAAACCAAGAGGCUUGCCUCUUGGGGUUGUAGGACACUCUGUACGGAGUUACAAAGGAACGAGGUAGAUGAAGAGGUCUGGAAAGGCCCGCCAUAGGAGGUAACAGCCCUGUAGUCAAAACUUCGUUCUCUCCUGAGUGGAUCCUGAGUACGGCGGAACACGUGAAAUUCCGUCGGAAUCCGGGAGGACCAUCUCCCAAGGCUAAAUACUCCCUAGUGACCGAUAGUGAACCAGUACCGUGAGGGAAAGGUGAAAAGCACCCCGGAAGGGGAGUGAAAGAGAUCCUGAAACCGUGUGCCUACAAGUAGUCAGAGCCCGUUAACGGGUGAUGGCGUGCCUUUUGUAGAAUGAACCGGCGAGUUACGAUCCCGUGCAAGGUUAAGCAGAAGAUGCGGAGCCGCAGCGAAAGCGAGUCUGAAUAGGGCGAAUUGAGUACGUGGUCGUAGACCCGAAACCAGGUGAUCUACCCAUGUCCAGGGUGAAGUUCAGGUAACACUGAAUGGAGGCCCGAACCCACGCACGUUGAAAAGUGCGGGGAUGAGGUGUGGGUAGGGGUGAAAUGCCAAUCGAACCUGGAGAUAGCUGGUUCUCUCCGAAAUAGCUUUAGGGCUAGCCUCAAGGUAAGAGUCUCGGAGGUAGAGCACUGAUUGGACUAGGGGCCCCUACCGGGUUACCGAAUUCAGUCAAACUCCGAAUGCCGAUGACUUAUCCUUGGGAGUCAGACUGCGAGUGAUAAGAUCCGUAGUCGAAAGGGAAACAGCCCAGACCGCCAGCUAAGGUCCCAAAGUAUACGUUAAGUGGAAAAGGAUGUGGAGUUGCUUAGACAACCAGGAUGUUGGCUUAGAAGCAGCCACCAUUUAAAGAGUGCGUAAUAGCUCACUGGUCGAGUGACUCUGCGCCGAAAAUGUACCGGGGCUAAACGUAUCACCGAAGCUGCGGACUGUUCUUCGAACAGUGGUAGGAGAGCGUUCUAAGGGCUGUGAAGCAAGACCGGAAGGACUUGUGGAGCGCUUAGAAGUGAGAAUGCCGGUAUGAGUAGCGAAAGAGGGGUGAGAAUCCCCUCCACCGAAUGCCUAAGGUUUCCUGAGGAAGGCUCGUCCGCUCAGGGUUAGUCGGGACCUAAGCCGAGGCCGAAAGGCGUAGGCGAUGGAUAACAGGUUGAUAUUCCUGUACCACCUCCUCACCAUUUGAGCAAUGGGGGGACGCAGGAGGAUAGGGUAAGCGCGGUAUUGGAUAUCCGCGUCCAAGCAGUUAGGCUGGGAAAUAGGCAAAUCCGUUUCCCGUGAAGGCUGAGCUGUGAUGGCGAGCGAAUUAUAGUAGCGAAGUUCCUGAUUCCACACUGCCAAGAAAAGCCUCUAGCGAGGUGAGAGGUGCCCGUACCGCAAACCGACACAGGUAGGCGAGGAGAGAAUCCUAAGGUGAUCGAGAGAACUCUCGUUAAGGAACUCGGCAAAAUGACCCCGUAACUUCGGGAGAAGGGGUGCUCUGUUAGGGUGCAAGCCCGAGAGAGCCGCAGUGAAUAGGCCCAGGCGACUGUUUAGCAAAAACACAGGUCUCUGCGAAGCCGUAAGGCGAAGUAUAGGGGCUGACGCCUGCCCGGUGCUGGAAGGUUAAGAGGAGCGCUUAGCGUAAGCGAAGGUGCGAAUUGAAGCCCCAGUAAACGGCGGCCGUAACUAUAACGGUCCUAAGGUAGCGAAAUUCCUUGUCGGGUAAGUUCCGACCCGCACGAAAGGCGCAACGAUCUGGGCACUGUCUCAACGAGAGACUCGGUGAAAUUAUAGUACCUGUGAAGAUGCAGGUUACCCGCGACAGGACGGAAAGACCCCGUGGAGCUUUACUGCAGCCUGAUAUUGAAUGUUGGUACAGCUUGUACAGGAUAGGUAGGAGCCUUGGAAACCGGAGCGCCAGCUUCGGUGGAGGCAUCGGUGGGAUACUACCCUGGCUGUAUUGACCUUCUAACCCGCCGCCCUUAUCGGGCGGGGAGACAGUGUCAGGUGGGCAGUUUGACUGGGGCGGUCGCCUCCUAAAAGGUAACGGAGGCGCCCAAAGGUUCCCUCAGAAUGGUUGGAAAUCAUUCGCAGAGUGUAAAGGCACAAGGGAGCUUGACUGCGAGACCUACAAGUCGAGCAGGGACGAAAGUCGGGCUUAGUGAUCCGGUGGUUCCGCAUGGAAGGGCCAUCGCUCAACGGAUAAAAGCUACCCCGGGGAUAACAGGCUUAUCUCCCCAAGAGUCCACAUCGACGGGGAGGUUUGGCACCUCGAUGUCGGCUCAUCGCAUCCUGGGGCUGUAGUCGGUCCCAAGGGUUGGGCUGUUCGCCCAUUAAAGCGGUACGCGAGCUGGGUUCAGAACGUCGUGAGACAGUUCGGUCCCUAUCCGUCGCGGGCGCAGGAAAUUUGAGAGGAGCUGUCCUUAGUACGAGAGGACCGGGAUGGACGCACCGCUGGUGUACCAGUUGUUCUGCCAAGGGCAUCGCUGGGUAGCUAUGUGCGGACGGGAUAAGUGCUGAAAGCAUCUAAGCAUGAAGCCCCCCUCAAGAUGAGAUUUCCCAUUCCACAAGGAAGUAAGAUCCCUGAAAGAUGAUCAGGUUGAUAGGUCUGAGGUGGAAGUGUGGCGACACAUGGAGCUGACAGAUACUAAUCGAUCGAGGACUUAACCAA
This 2929-nucleotide ribosomal RNA is filed under the name Bacillus amyloliquefaciens. RNAcentral's name for it is "23S ribosomal RNA". It matches the Rfam family "Bacterial large subunit ribosomal RNA". The record is from RNAcentral. Lineage: Bacteria; Bacillati; Bacillota; Bacilli; Caryophanales; Bacillaceae.